This 70-nucleotide transfer RNA is filed under the name Zoniolaimus dendrolagi. RNAcentral describes it as "tRNA-Lys". The record is from RNAcentral. Lineage: Eukaryota; Metazoa; Nematoda; Chromadorea; Rhabditida; Strongylidae.
GUGUUAACUUAAGCUUAAAGUGUCAAAUUUUUAAUUUGGAAAUGUAUUUUGCACAUCUCAUAUUUUAGUU